Molecule: transfer RNA, 16 nt
Filed under: Leptobrachium hainanense (Hainan pseudomoustache toad)
Lineage: Eukaryota; Metazoa; Chordata; Amphibia; Anura; Megophryidae
Description: partial tRNA-Ile
Source: RNAcentral
AUCUGUGCCCGAAAGU